UGGAAGCGUCUGGAAAGGCGCGCGAUACAGGGUGACAGCCCCGUACACAAAAAUGCACAUGCUGUGAGCUCGAUGAGUAGGGCGGGACACGUGGUAUCCUGUCUGAAUAUGGGGGGACCAUCCUCCAAGGCUAAAUACUCCUGACUGACCGAUAGUGAACCAGUACCGUGAGGGAAAGGCGAAAAGAACCCCGGCGAGGGGAGUGAAAAAGAACCUGAAACCGUGUACGUACAAGCAGUGGGAGCACGCUUAGGCGUGUGACUGCGUACCUUUUGUAUAAUGGGUCAGCGACUUAUAUUCUGUAGCAAGGUUAACCGAAUAGGGGAGCCGAAGGGAAACCGAGUCUUAACUGGGCGUUAAGUUGCAGGGUAUAGACCCGAAACCCGGUGAUCUAGCCAUGGGCAGGUUGAAGGUUGGGUAACACUAACUGGAGGACCGAACCGACUAAUGUUGAAAAAUUAGCGGAUGACUUGUGGCUGGGGGUGAAAGGCCAAUCAAACCGGGAGAUAGCUGGUUCUCCCCGAAAGCUAUUUAGGUAGCGCCUCGUGAAUUCAUCUCCGGGGGUAGAGCACUGUUUCGGCAAGGGGGUCAUCCCGACUUACCAACCCGAUGCAAACUGCGAAUACCGGAGAAUGUUAUCACGGGAGACACACGGCGGGUGCUAACGUCCGUCGUGAAGAGGGAAACAACCCAGACCGCCAGCUAAGGUCCCAAAGUCAUGGUUAAGUGGGAAACGAUGUGGGAAGGCCCAGACAGCCAGGAUGUUGGCUUAGAAGCAGCCAUCAUUUAAAGAAAGCGUAAUAGCUCACUGGUCGAGUCGGCCUGCGCGGAAGAUGUAACGGGGCUAAACCAUGCACCGAAGCUGCGGCAGCGACGCUUAUGCGUUGUUGGGUAGGGGAGCGUUCUGUAAGCCUGUGAAGGUGUGCUGUGAGGCAUGCUGGAGGUAUCAGAAGUGCGAAUGCUGACAUAAGUAACGAUAAAGCGGGUGAAAAGCCCGCUCGCCGGAAGACCAAGGGUUCCUGUCCAACGUUAAUCGGGGCAGGGUGAGUCGACCCCUAAGGCGAGGCCGAAAGGCGUAGUCGAUGGGAAACAGGUUAAUAUUCCUGUACUUGGUGUUACUGCGAAGGG
Molecule: ribosomal RNA, 1128 nt
Filed under: Escherichia coli
Lineage: Bacteria; Pseudomonadati; Pseudomonadota; Gammaproteobacteria; Enterobacterales; Enterobacteriaceae
Also listed under: 1 other name
Description: partial 23S ribosomal RNA
Rfam family: Bacterial large subunit ribosomal RNA
Source: RNAcentral